CUCUGUAAAAGACUCCCCCAUCCAUUCUCUUUCCUGUGAAUCUCCCAGUGAUGCCUCGGACUCCUCAAUCCCUCAGUCAGAGGAAGGGAAUCCAGACGAACCACACCUUCAACCCAAACUCUCCGUGAAUGGACACAGAGCGGCGGAAAACGGUCAGGAGUGUUGACUUAAACACACUGGCCUCCCGGACCGAGAACCUUUGCUCCUUGCUCCGCUUUAUGAACGCCUCUGUAUUUCCUCUGAAACUCCACGCCACCCCUUUGCCUUCCGAAGGUGAAACAUGGGCUUGUGCGGAGCCCUUUCAGGAAAGAAGGGGCGCUCAGGAGGGGUGUGUGAGAGCAAUUAAACCCGCAUUGUGAGCGCGACAGCUUCCAACGGAAGGAGCUGGUUAUUAACCACUCAAAACCUGAAAUGCCAGGUGUCGAGUAUAGGAAUCCAGGCUAAAUAAAGCUGUGCUGCAUCCCGGUUCCUCCACAGAGAAGACAGGAAAUUUCCACGGUGCCUGGCUACCAGGCAGAGUGUCCGAUUGCAUUUAGCGACUGUCAUCUCACCCUGGACACGUGUAGGAUGGCAAGGGACUCUCUCAGCCGUGUGUGUCCUUUCCACUGCUUCCUGCUGACACCGUCCCCAACAGAAACAUGCAAUCUGUGCAGCCUAAAGAGCCGCCCGCCCUCCCGAGCCUUCGCGGAGAAUAAUAACAGCAGCUGCAUGACUUUUGCUUAAUGUAAAUACUUUAUUGACUUUUGUAUUUAAUUUAUGCAUCUGUCCAGUGUUUGCACAGCUGUUUGAUGUCUGUGUGAACCCAUAGGUUAGCCUUUGUUGAUUUGAUCUAUCUUAAACUCUAAGCAUUGAGAGAUGAGGGGGCUCCCAGUUCACUUUCCUUUGCCCAGCUUCCGACAUGGUAGUAUAUAGAUGAGAACUUGAGAGUUAGCCAUCUCCUUUAAGAUCACUUUGCUCCUGGUGGCCGGUUUGCUCAAUGGUUAGAGUGUCGGCCGGCGAACUGAAGGGUCCUGGGUUCGAUUCUUGGUGAAGGGCAUGUACUUCGGUGGAAGGUUCUCCAGCCUCGAUAGGGGCAUGUGUGGGAGGCAACCAAUUGAUGUCUCUCUCUCACAUCAAUGUUUCUCUUUCUCUCUCCCCUUCCCGCCUCCCUCCUUCCCACUCUCUCUAGAAAUCAAUGAAAAAAUAUCCUUGGGUGAGGAUUUAAAAAAAAAAAAAAGAUAUUUUUCUCCCUUGGUGAAGAAAAGGGCCCGAUUUUCUGAUCUGCUUAGGGAAAGUGUGAUGGUUGACUUUGUUUCCCUCUUACAAGGACACCAUUAUAGAAUCAAGGUGAUGUCGAGGAGGUUUUGUCUCUCCCAGAAAACUGCACCAGAGGAUUUGGCGAGGGGCAGGAUAUGAGACCUAGCAUGGAAAUAGUGCUAGUUAAGUAUGGAAUGGGGUUGGGAUGGAAAAAUCGCUCUCUUAUGGAGACUUACUUGCCCAUCAAAAAAACUGAGAAAGGACUGGGUAUGAGAAAUGCCAAUGGUUUGGCUAAUACCAGACCUUAGCUUGAGUCACAGCACCUGAACGUGUAUUUGUUUCUGAUGCUGUCUUCCUGGGGGUGUGGGAAAAGCCAACUGCACUGGGUUCAGUUCCUGGAGGCAGUGGUGGGAUGCAAAGGCAAGCAGCCCCAGUCUUCCCCCCUCCAGCAGAGAAGGGGAGGAAAGAGAGUGGAGAGGGGAUUUUAUGUUUGGUUGGGCUUUCUCCUGCAAUGUACAGAUAACAUCAUCUUUUAAAAAAAUAUUUUUUUAUUGAUUUCAGAGAGGAAGGGAGAGGUAGAGAGAGAUAGAAACAUCAAUGAUGAGAGAGAAUCAUAGAUCGGCUGCCUCCUGCACACCCCACACUGGGGAUCGAGCCUGCAACCUGGGCAUGUGCCCUGACCGGGAAUAGAACCGUGACCUCCUGGUUCGUAGAUUAACACUCAACCACUGACCCAUGCUGCUGGGCCAAAUAACAUUAUUCUUAAAUAACAUUUUUGUCCAGUUGUGUGUGACCUGGCCGUCAACAAAAUUUAUUAAAAAAUAGAUAAUAAAGACCAAGGACAGGUUGAAUUUUACUCAGAAUUUGAAUCUCUCUGUGCCUCAGUUUCUCUCAGUAGUGCCUUAAUCUUGUGGAUAAAGCCUAAGGUUGACUUUUGAAAGGCGCUCCCUCCACAGAGCAUGAAAAACUGUGAGGUACCUAAACUACAACUUUCUAUCAAAUUAGGUGCUUUUUUAAAAAAAAUUUAUUGAUUUUUUUUAGAGAGAGGAAGGGAGAGAGAGAAAUAAUAAUGUGAGAAACAUCAGUUGGUUGCCUACCACAUACAUCCCGACCAGGGAUCAAACCUGCAACCUGGGCACAUUUCCUGACCAGGAAUUGAACCCACCACUGCCUGGUGUACCAGAUGAUGCUCUAGCCUACUGAGCCACACUGGCCAGGCCAAGUCCUCUUUAACAAAGUAGUCUGUUACCAUGAGUAAGAUGUUUACUGUUGCUUUUUGGUUAAAAUCCUUCAAGAACUAAAGAGAAAUUCUUUGUAAAUUAGGUCAUGACUCAGGAAAGAACUGAACUAGUAAGUUUGUGUCUGUUAUCAGCUCUGCUUAAGACUGGCCUUUUAUAUCACUCUGAGGAGUAGUAAUACUGUUUGUUUUCAGCUGUUUGUUUUACAUAAGAGAAAAAAUUGAGUGGGGAACAGGGAAAUCAUAUUUUGAUAGAGUAGUUUUAUUGUUUUUCUGAUAUAUUAUGGCCCCCUCACCCCCAGUAUUCCCAGGGAUCAUUCCCACUUAAAAGCUAAACACAAAACAACUUCCAAAGCCAAGUAUAAGUAAUGGAUUUUUAAAACAUAAUAAAAUGGCAUAUUGAAUUAUCAACUACAGUUCUUCUCAAGUUGCCCAGGAAACCUAGCAUCUACUGCACUAAGUUUCAGUAACAUAGGUACAUUCUCAGCCCAGCCCGUAACAGGAAAACACAGAUGUCUUAGAGCCUCUGAGAUGCACUAAAUUCUGGAAACGGGAAGCCAUAAAAGAUGGAAUUGUGGGAGGGGAAUGGCCGGCAGCACCCUGGGAAAGCAGCAGCCUGGGGAGGAAUGACCUCUCUUUGAUCUCUCGCUUUCCCAAGUCACUUUCCCAUGCACUUCCUCACACUGGUUUCAGUUCUUUAGAUCUAAUAAAAGGCUUUGGGGCUGGGAGCAUCACCAAGCAGCUGAGCAGAGUGCUGAUUCAGGCAGAGC
Molecule: long non-coding RNA, 3243 nt
Organism: Myotis daubentonii (Daubenton's bat)
Lineage: Eukaryota; Metazoa; Chordata; Mammalia; Chiroptera; Vespertilionidae
Source: RefSeq, a predicted model, not a curated record